RNAcentral lists this ribosomal RNA (497 nucleotides) under uncultured bacterium. RNAcentral's name for it is "partial 16S ribosomal RNA". It matches the Rfam family "Bacterial small subunit ribosomal RNA", at positions 28 to 507 of the family's 1533-position model. The record is from RNAcentral.
GACGAACGCUGGCGGCGUGCCUAAUACAUGCAAGUAGAACGCUGAAGAGAGGAGCUUCCUCUUCUUGGAUGAGUUGCGAACGGGUGAGUAACGCGUAGGUAACCUGCCUUGUAGCGGGGGAUAACUAUUGGAAACGAUAGCUAAUACCGCAUAACAAUGGAUGACACAUGUCCUUUAUUUGAAAGGGGCAAUUGCUCCACUACAAGAUGGACCUGCGUUGUAUUAGCUAGUAGGUGAGGUAAUGGCUCACCUAGGCGACGAUACAUAGCCGACCUGAGAGGGUGAUCGGCCACACUGGGACUGAGACACGGCCCAGACGCCUACGGGAGGCAGCAGUAGGGAAUCUUCGGCAAUGGGGGCAACCCUGACCGAGCAACGCCGCGUGAGUGAAGAAGGUUUUCGGAUCGUAAAGCUCUGUUGUAAGUCAAGAACGGGUGUGAGAGUGGAAAGUUCACACUGUGACGGUAGCUUACCAGAAAGGGACGGCUAACUACGUG